RNAcentral lists this ribosomal RNA (253 nucleotides) under uncultured bacterium. RNAcentral's name for it is "partial 16S ribosomal RNA". It matches the Rfam family "Bacterial small subunit ribosomal RNA", at positions 524 to 776 of the family's 1533-position model. The record is from RNAcentral.
UACGUAGGGGGCUAGCGUUGUCCGGAAUCAUUGGGCGUAAAGCGCGCGUAGGCGGCCCGGUAAGUCCGCUGUAAAAGUCAAAGGCUCAACCUUUGAAUGUCAGUGGAUACUGCCGGGCUAGAGUCCGGAAGAGGCGAGUGGAACUCCUGGUGUAGCGGUGGAAUGCGCAGAUAUCAGGAAGAACACCGACGGCGAAGGCAGCUCGCUGGGACGGUACUGACGCUGAGGCACGAAGGUCAGGGGAGCAAACGGG